This is a long non-coding RNA of Aedes aegypti (yellow fever mosquito), 809 nucleotides long. RefSeq lists it as uncharacterized. NCBI's taxonomy places the organism in Eukaryota, Metazoa, Arthropoda, Insecta, Diptera, Culicidae. The transcript has 2 exons. The record is from RefSeq and is a predicted model, not a curated record.
CACGCCGAAUGCUGUCGGUGCUAGUCCCAAUCAGCGAAUUUUCUCGAGGAACACACGUGGAGUAGUACCCACCAUCACAAAUAAGUUGCAGCCAGCGCAAGCAUCACGUGUUGAAGAACGGAUUGCGCACAAGAGAAAGAUAGUCAAGGCAAGCUAUGACAAAAAAGCGAAGGUUCUACCAGAUUUGCAAGUUGGUGGCAAUGUCGUAAUUCAGCGAAGGCCUGAUGUGACUAAGGUUUGGGAGCAAGCAACACUGAUGGGUAAAUUUUCGGACCAGUCUUGCGAGGUACAAACUAAGGAUGGCAGAGUUUACAGGCGGAGUGCAGUGCAUGUUAAACCUGGUGACAACCACAAGUCCAACAUGCAACGAAGCGAUGAUUCUGUGAAGCAACCAAUCAUGGAGCAGCAGAAUGAAGAUCAACGCAAGGGAACUCCAAUCGAAAACAAGAAUCAAAUAGUAUUCGAAAGACGUGAUUAUAACAAAACAACCAUCAAUAAGCCCGAGACAAUACUGGUUCCAGAUGGCCCGCCGCAGAUAACAUCACAACCCGAAAUACAUCGUGGGGUCAACCAUCAGCGUGAACCAAUAUCAAAACCGAAGACUCGUCCAAAGAGGGAGAUUAGAAAACCAGCGAAGUUAGCGGAUUAUAAGUUGUAAUCCUUUUGUCGUUACUUGUUUUUAUUAUCAACAAUAUUAGCUUAACGGAAGAGGGGAGAUGUUGUAUUUGAACCACCCUAUUAUAUGAGUCUCUAAUGUAUCACACUAAUGCGAAUAACAAUAAACAGUAUGUAUCAGACAGUCAACACCA